This 253-nucleotide ribosomal RNA is filed under the name uncultured bacterium. Its description in RNAcentral is "partial 16S ribosomal RNA". It matches the Rfam family "Bacterial small subunit ribosomal RNA", at positions 524 to 776 of the family's 1533-position model. The record is from RNAcentral.
UACGGAGGAUCCGAGCGUUAUCCGGAUUUAUUGGGUUUAAAGGGAGCGUAGGCGGGUUGUUAAGUCAGUUGUGAAAGUUUGCGGCUCAACCGUAAAAUUGCAGUUGAUACUGGCAUCCUUGAGUACAGUAGAGGUAGGCGGAAUUCGUGGUGUAGCGGUGAAAUGCUUAGAUAUCACGAAGAACUCCGAUUGCGAAGGCAGCCUGCUGGACUGUAACUGACGCUGAUGCUCGAAAGUGCGGGUAUCAAAUAGG